Molecule: ribosomal RNA, 542 nt
Filed under: uncultured Glomeromycotina
Lineage: Eukaryota; Fungi; Glomeromycota
Description: SSU rRNA
Rfam family: Eukaryotic small subunit ribosomal RNA
Source: RNAcentral
UGGAGGGCAAGUCUGGUGCCAGCAGCCGCGGUAAUUCCAGCUCCAAUAGCGUAUAUUAAAGUUGUUGCAGUUAAAAAGCUCGUAGUUGAAUUUCGGGGUUCUACCGUUGGUCGGGCUUUGUCUGUACUGGUGUGUAGAAUUUCUACCUUCUGGGGAACCAUCAUGCUAUUAAUUUAGCGUGGUGGGAAACCAGGACCUUUACCUUGAAAAAAUUAGUGUGUUCAAAGCAGGCUUAUGUCUGAAUACAUUAGCGUGGAAUAAUAGAAUAGGACGGUGGUCCUGUUUUGUUGGUUUCUGUAUCACCGUAAUGAUUAAUAGGGAUAGUUGGGGGCAUUAGUAUUCAAUUGUCAGAGGUGAAAUUCUUGGAUUUAUUGAAGACUAACUUCUGCGAAAGCAUUUGCCAAGGAUGUUUUCAUUAAUCAAGAACGAAAGUUAGGGGAUCGAAGACGAUCAGAUACCGUCGUAGUCUUAACCAUAAACUAUGCCGACUAGGGAUCGGACGAUGUUAAUUUUUCUUGACUCGUUCGGCGCCUUACGGGAAA